Cloeon dipterum is the source of this 373-nucleotide long non-coding RNA. RefSeq lists it as uncharacterized. The record is from RefSeq and is a predicted model, not a curated record. NCBI's taxonomy places the organism in Eukaryota, Metazoa, Arthropoda, Insecta, Ephemeroptera, Baetidae. The transcript has 3 exons.
CAGGGAAAGGCAAGCCUGCCUUCACCUAAAGAAGAAUGCGCUGCUGAAGAAACACCUUGUCCGAUGCCUCUAGAAGUGCUGAAUCUUGCUUUCUUGCUCGACUCUACCAUUUUAAAGCCAUGCCCUGAGGGAGGCUACAAAUCGGAAUCAGAGGCUGUGUACAGGUGCAUGUACGACCACUCGAUUACGUUCAAUUCCAAUUGUACGAAGCAAGGAAAAUGGAAUCCAAACGUGUUGGAUCCCGUAGCAAUCAGCACUCUACCUGCUUGUUCUGCAAGUGAUUUUGUUGCCGGAAGCAUCUGGCUCGUCCUUUCCGCGAUAUUUUUUAUCAACAUGUAAAGAGACGCCGAUCGACGAUCGACGCGUGUUCUGU